Non-coding RNA from Podarcis lilfordi (Lilford's wall lizard), 72 nucleotides. Lineage: Eukaryota; Metazoa; Chordata; Lepidosauria; Squamata; Lacertidae. The record is from the annotation of a GenBank genome assembly.
GGACCAUAGCUCAGUGGUUUGUGUGUCUGCUUUGCAUGCAUAAGGUUUCAGGUUCAAUUCCCAAUAUGCCCA